This 234-nucleotide long non-coding RNA is filed under the name Hordeum vulgare. Its description in RNAcentral is "long non-coding RNA (HVUL_LNC012973)". The record is from RNAcentral. Lineage: Eukaryota; Viridiplantae; Streptophyta; Magnoliopsida; Poales; Poaceae.
GUAAUUGGAAUGCCUAGUUCCAUGCUCAAAUGGAAAAGAUAAUUGCAAACAAAACUCCCCCUGGAUUGUUGUUGGUAUGGACGGCACCCGAGUAUUCGGCUAGUUGUGGAGUGUGAUUGAUCGGUGGUGGGGAGUCAAAACUUUACUUUUCUGUUUGGGAACCACCUAUAGUAUGUGUAGCAUGGAAGAUGGUGAAAACUCUUAGUCAUUGCGUUGACAAUGAAAGCAUGCCAC